CAUGCAAGUCGAACGCAGUAGCAAUACUGAGUGGCAAACGGGUGAGUAUAAUGUGGGAAUCUGCCUUUUGGUUUGGAAUAACACGGGGAAACUUGUGCUAAUACCGGAUAAGCCUUCACAGGGAAAGUUUUAUACGCCGAAAGAUGAGCCCGCACUUGAUUAGCUAGUUGGUGAGGUAAAAGCUCACCAAGGCAACGAUCAAUAGCUGUUCUUAGAGGAAGACCAGCCACAUUGGGACUGAGACACGGCCCAGACUCCUACGGGAGGCAGCAGUAAGGAAUCUUGCACAAUGGGGGAAACCCUGAUGCAGCGAUGCCGCGUGAGUGAAGAAGGCCCUUGGGUUGUAAAACUCUUUCGUCGGGGAAGAAAAUGACUGUACCCGAAUAAGAAGGUCCGGCUAACUUCGUGCCAGCAGCCGCGGUAAUACGAAGGGACCUAGCGUAGUUCGGAAUUACUGGGCUUAAAGAGCUCGUAGGUGGUUAAAAAAGUUGAUUGUGAAAUCCCAAGGCUCAACCUUGGAACUGCAAUCAAAACUUUUUAGCUAGAGUGUGAUAGAGGAAAGUGGAAUUUCUAGUGUAGAGGUGAAAUUCGUAGAUAUUA
This 600-nucleotide ribosomal RNA is filed under the name uncultured Alphaproteobacteria bacterium. Its description in RNAcentral is "bacterial SSU rRNA". It matches the Rfam family "Bacterial small subunit ribosomal RNA", at positions 54 to 699 of the family's 1533-position model. The record is from RNAcentral. Lineage: Bacteria; Pseudomonadati; Pseudomonadota; Alphaproteobacteria.